ACGAGUGACUUUAAUAACUGUUCGGCUAUUCCUGACCAAAACGCUGAGACCGUAAUGCACUAGCGGGUCGGGCGUACUAGGCCCCUUCAUCCCUUCCUAACAUAGCGUGGCCCGGGCGUACGUGGCCCCUUCAACCAGCUUACCAACCGUGGGUCGGGCGUGCUAGGCCCCUUCACCCUCACUCUGUAGCGUGGCCCGGGCGUACAAGGCCCCUUCAACC
RNAcentral lists this unclassified non-coding RNA (220 nucleotides) under Melitaea cinxia (Glanville fritillary). RNAcentral's name for it is "misc RNA ENSMCXG00005001257.1". The record is from RNAcentral. Lineage: Eukaryota; Metazoa; Arthropoda; Insecta; Lepidoptera; Nymphalidae.